ACGAACGCUGGCGGCGUGCCUAAUACCUGCAAGUAGAACGCACAGUUUAUACCGUAGCUUGCUACACCAUAGACUGCGAGUUGCGAACGGGUGAGUAACGCGUAGGUAACCUGCCUGGUAGCGGGGGAUAACUAUUGGAAACGAUAGCUAAUACCGCAUAAUAUUAAUUAUUGCAUGAUAAUUAAUUGAAGGGUGCAAUUGCACCACUACCAGAUGGACCUGCGUUGUAUUAGCUAGUAGGUGAGGUAACGGCUCACCUAGGCGACGAUACAUAGCCGACCGGAGAGGGUGAGCGGCCACACUGGGACUGGGACACGGCCCAGACUCCUACGGGAGGCAGCAGUAGGGAAUCUUCGGCAAUGGACGAAAGUCUGACCGAGCAACGCCGCGUGAGUGAAGAAGGGUUUCGGAUCGUAAAGCUCUGUUGUAAGAGAAAAACGGGUGUGAGAGUGGAAAGUUCACACUGUGACGGUAUCUUACCAGAAAGGGACGGCUAACUACGUG
Molecule: ribosomal RNA, 504 nt
Filed under: uncultured bacterium
Lineage: Bacteria
Description: partial 16S ribosomal RNA
Rfam family: Bacterial small subunit ribosomal RNA
Source: RNAcentral